CCGUGCCUGUUCCUCCCUGACCCAGAAACCCAAGAGGUGGCGUUUCUGAAGCAUCUGUCUAACCGAUGGAGUCGAAAACUGGGGCAGGCUCAUUUGUUUGUGUGAUGUUGAUUGCCAACGGUUAAUCACCAAGGGUAAGUGGAAGAAAUCAUUCCUGUUCAUUUGCAAAUGGAAAUCAGAUGGGGACUGGGCUUAAAUGCAUCAGCGUUUUCACUUCCAAAUGAAAGGGUUUCAGAAAGACAGCUGACCUUGGGUUGCCUGUCAGACACCUGCCGGCACUCGGGGCGUCCUGUGCCUUUUCCAGACGUUCUAGGGCCCUGCCAUUCCUCUAUCUUGAAGACAGACCCAUUUAGUUUGGAAAGUAGGAAGCGUCUCGGGUGCUGUGAAGUCUCAGGCACAUACAAACAGCCACUUCUCCCUUUUUAUUACUCUGCAGGGACCGGGAGAUGCCUUUCACCUCGCUUAAGGAGCCUGAGCAAAUUAUGCUGAAAUCCUUCCAAGGGUUGAAAUAUGUUUAUAAAUUCUCCUGGCUGAACUGUUGGCCCCAAGAAGUCUACAAUAAGAAAGCACUUACGUGUUGGGUGGGUCCUUUCUCCUCCACCCCCUUAAACGUGCAAUGUUUUCUGUUUACGGGGCGGCGUGUCAAUGCUGCGUUUUCGUCCUGCAUUUACCACCCUCAAGAGCGUGUGCAUCAAGCCCUGAAGUAAUAGCCCCGUGUAUCAGAUGUGUAAUGAAUUUCUCCCCUUGCCGGUGGAUUCAUUACCGUGAUUUAUGGCUGUUUUAAUGUACACAGCCUUCUUAAACAA
This 806-nucleotide long non-coding RNA is filed under the name Lynx pardinus (Iberian lynx). Lineage: Eukaryota; Metazoa; Chordata; Mammalia; Carnivora; Felidae. The record is from RNAcentral.